AGGGUGAUAGUUAAAUAUAACAUGUGAUUUGCAUUCAAAAAGUAUUGAGUAAUCAAUUCACCUUG
This 65-nucleotide transfer RNA is filed under the name Pycnoscelus nigra. Its description in RNAcentral is "tRNA-Ala". It matches the Rfam family "tRNA". Rfam says of the family: Transfer RNA (tRNA) molecules are approximately 80 nucleotides in length. Their secondary structure includes four short double-helical elements and three loops (D, anti-codon, and T loops). The record is from RNAcentral. Lineage: Eukaryota; Metazoa; Arthropoda; Insecta; Blattodea; Blaberidae.